UACGUAGGGCGCAAGCGUUGUCCGGAAUUAUUGGGCGUAAAGAGCUCGUAGGCGGCCUGUCGCGUCUGCUGUGAAAUCCCGGGGCUUAACCCCGGGCGUGCAGUGGAUACGGGCUGGCUGGAGGCAGGCAGGGGAGAACGGAAUUCCCGGUGUAGCGGUGGAAUGCGCAGAUAUCAGGAGGAACACCGAUGGCGAAGGCAGAUCUCUGGGCCGUAACUGACGCUGAGGAGCGAAAGCAUGGGGAGCGAACAGG
This 253-nucleotide ribosomal RNA is filed under the name uncultured bacterium. Its description in RNAcentral is "partial 16S ribosomal RNA". It matches the Rfam family "Bacterial small subunit ribosomal RNA", at positions 524 to 776 of the family's 1533-position model. The record is from RNAcentral.